GAUGAACGCUGGCGGCGUGCCUAAUACAUGCAAGUCGAGCGAACGGACGAGAAGCUUGCUCUUCUGAUGUUAGCGGCGGACGGGUGAGUAACACGUGGAUAACCUACCUAUAAGACUGGGAUAACUUCGGGAAACCGGAGCUAAUACCGGCUAAUAUUUUGAACCGCAUGGUUCAAAAGUGAAAGACGGUCUUGCUGUCACUUAUAGAUGGAUCCGCGCUGCAUUAGCUAGUUGGUAAGGUAACGGCUUACCAAGGCAACGAUGCAUAGCCGACCUGAGAGGAUGAUCGGCCACACUGGAACUGAGACACGGUCCAGACUCCUACGGGAGGCAGCAGUAGGGAAUCUUCCGCAAUGGGCGAAAGCCUGACGGAGCAACGCCGCGUGAGUGAUGAAGGUCUUCGGAUCGUAAAACUCUGUUAUUAGGGAAGAACAUAUGUGUAAGUAACUGUGCACAUCUUGACGGUACCUAAUCAGAAAGCCACGGCUAACUACGUG
RNAcentral lists this ribosomal RNA (497 nucleotides) under uncultured bacterium. RNAcentral's name for it is "partial 16S ribosomal RNA". It matches the Rfam family "Bacterial small subunit ribosomal RNA", at positions 28 to 507 of the family's 1533-position model. The record is from RNAcentral.